UAGCUUACAAAAAGCACGGCACUGAAGAUGCCGAGACGGCUGCUUCACACA
Molecule: transfer RNA, 51 nt
Filed under: Myzornis pyrrhoura
Lineage: Eukaryota; Metazoa; Chordata; Aves; Passeriformes
Description: tRNA-Phe
Source: RNAcentral